CCAAUAGCGUAUAUUAAAGUUGUUGUGGUUAAAAAGCUCGUAGUUGAACCUUGGGCCUGGCUGGCCGGUCCGCCUCACCGCGUGUACUGGUCCGGCCGGGCCUUUCCCUCUGUGGAACCCCAUGCCCUUCACUGGGCGUGGCGGGGAAACAGGACUUUUACUGUGAAAAAAUUAGAGUGCUCCAGGCAGGCCUAUGCUCGAAUACAUUAGCAUGGAAUAAUAGAAUAGGACGUGUGGUUCUGUUUUGUUGGUUUCUAGGACCGCCGUAAUGAUUAAUAGGGACAGUCGGGGGCAUCAGUAUUCAAUUGUCAGAGGUGAAAUUCUUGGAUUUAUUGAAGACUAACUACUGCGAAAGCAUUUGCCAAGGAUGUUUUCAUUAAUCAGGAACGAAAGUUAGGGGAUCGAAGACGAUCAGAUACCGUCGUAGUCUUAACCAUAAACUAUGCCGACUAGGGAUCGGACGGUGUUAUUUUUUGACCCGUUCGGCACCUUACG
Molecule: ribosomal RNA, 495 nt
Filed under: uncultured Glomeromycotina
Lineage: Eukaryota; Fungi; Glomeromycota
Description: partial small subunit ribosomal RNA
Rfam family: Eukaryotic small subunit ribosomal RNA
Source: RNAcentral